RNAcentral lists this long non-coding RNA (380 nucleotides) under Parus major (Great Tit). Its description in RNAcentral is "lncRNA (ENSPMJG00000011347.1)". Lineage: Eukaryota; Metazoa; Chordata; Aves; Passeriformes; Paridae. The record is from RNAcentral.
CUUGCUCUCAGAUCACACACAGUCUUAUGCAAUUUUAUUAGCAACGUGCCUUUUUUAGCAGCUUGGAAUUUAAGACUAAUCCAUCCCCAAAACUGUUUCCUGGUUUCCUUUCAUUCUCAAGAGUAGAACUUCCCUCUAGUGCAGACAAUCAGAAAAUAUUAUGAACCUUCACAGGAACUUGGAAAUAGCUGAUGAUGCUCCCAUAUGAUGGCUCAGAUGCUCACUCUCAGUCUAAACAAAUUAUCUUCUGGGGGAAAAAAGACCACUGCUCUGCUAGGUCAUGGAUGACAACAUGUGUUUCCACAUCUUUUGGGAGAAAGAAGGGGAAGAGCUCUGAAUGCAGAUUGCUGCAUAUGCAAUCUUAUAUAUGCAGGUCAUGA